RNAcentral lists this ribosomal RNA (384 nucleotides) under Klebsiella pneumoniae. RNAcentral describes it as "bacterial SSU rRNA". It matches the Rfam family "Bacterial small subunit ribosomal RNA", at positions 1 to 383 of the family's 1533-position model. The record is from RNAcentral. Lineage: Bacteria; Pseudomonadati; Pseudomonadota; Gammaproteobacteria; Enterobacterales; Enterobacteriaceae. RNAcentral also lists the same sequence under 2 other names.
AAAUUGAAGAGUUUGAUCAUGGCUCAGAUUGAACGCUGGCGGCAGGCCUAACACAUGCAAGUCGAGCGGUAGCACAGAGAGCUUGCUCUCGGGUGACGAGCGGCGGACGGGUGAGUAAUGUCUGGGAAACUGCCUGAUGGAGGGGGAUAACUACUGGAAACGGUAGCUAAUACCGCAUAACGUCGCAAGACCAAAGUGGGGGACCUUCGGGCCUCAUGCCAUCAGAUGUGCCCAGAUGGGAUUAGCUAGUAGGUGGGGUAACGGCUCACCUAGGCGACGAUCCCUAGCUGGUCUGAGAGGAUGACCAGCCACACUGGAACUGAGACACGGUCCAGACUCCUACGGGAGGCAGCAGUGGGGAAUAUUGCACAAUGGGCGCAAGCC